This 173-nucleotide ribosomal RNA is filed under the name uncultured bacterium. RNAcentral describes it as "partial 16S ribosomal RNA". It matches the Rfam family "Bacterial small subunit ribosomal RNA", at positions 338 to 525 of the family's 1533-position model. The record is from RNAcentral.
UCUACGGGAGGCAGCAGUGGGGAAUAUUGCACAAUGGGGGAAACCCUGAUGCAGCGACGCCGCGUGAGUGAAGAAGGUUUUCGGAUCGUAAAACUCUGUCCUUGGUGAAGAAAAAAAUGACAGUAGCCAAGGAGGAAGCCCCGGCUAACUACGUGCCAGCAGCCGCGGUAAUA